AGCAGCCGCGGUAAUUCCAGCUCCAAUAGCGUAUAUUAAAGUUGUUGCAGUUAAAAAGCUCGUAGUUGAAUUUCGAGACCGGCUUACUGGUCGUGCUAUUGUACGUACUGGUAUAAUCGGUUUCUCCUUUCUGACGAACUAUAAUGCCAUUAAUUUGGUGUUUUAGGGAAUCAGGACUGUUACUUUGAAAAAAUUAGAGUGUUUAAAGCAGGCUCACGCUUGAAUACAUUAGCAUGGAAUAACGGAAUAGGACGUUUGAUUCUAUUUUGUUGGUUUCUAGGAUCGACGUAAUGAUUAAUAGGGAUAGUUGGGGGCAUUAGUAUUCAAUUGUCAGAGGUGAAAUUCUUGGAUUUAUUGAAGACUAACUACUGCGAAAGCAUUUGCCAAGGAUGUUUUCAUUAAUCAAGAACGAAAGUUAGGGGAUCGAAGACGAUCAGAUACCGUCGUAGU
RNAcentral lists this ribosomal RNA (450 nucleotides) under uncultured Glomeromycotina. RNAcentral describes it as "SSU rRNA". It matches the Rfam family "Eukaryotic small subunit ribosomal RNA", at positions 569 to 1024 of the family's 1831-position model. Lineage: Eukaryota; Fungi; Glomeromycota. The record is from RNAcentral.